AGAGUUUGAUCCUGGCUCAGAACGAACGCUGGCGGCAGGCUUAACACAUGCAAGUCGAACGCACCUUUCGGGGUGAGUGGCAGACGGGUGAGUAACGCGUGGGAAUCUACCCAGUUCUACGGAAUAACGCAGGGAAACUUGCGCUAAUACCGUAUGAGCCCUACGGGGGAAAGAUUUAUCGGGAUUGGAUGAGCCCGCGUGAGAUUAGCUAGUUGGUGGGGUAACGGCCUACCAAGGCGACGAUCUCUAGCUGGUCUGAGAGGAUGAUCAGCCACACUGGGACUGAGACACGGCCCAGACUCCUACGGGAGGCAGCAGUGGGGAAUAUUGGACAAUGGGCGCAAGCCUGAUCCAGCCAUGCCGCGUGAGUGAUGAAGGCCUUAGGGUUGUAAAGCUCUUUCAGUGGGGAAGAUAAUGACGGUACCCACACAAGAAGCCCCGGCUAACUUCGUGCCAGCAGCCGCGGUAAUUC
This 472-nucleotide ribosomal RNA is filed under the name uncultured bacterium. RNAcentral describes it as "bacterial SSU rRNA". It matches the Rfam family "Bacterial small subunit ribosomal RNA", at positions 8 to 526 of the family's 1533-position model. The record is from RNAcentral.